CCUACGGGUGGCAGCAGUGAGGAAUAUUGGUCAAUGGGCGCAAGCCUGAACCAGCCAAGUAGCGUGCAGGAUGACGGCCCUACGGGUUGUAAACUUCUUUUAUAAAGGGAUAAAGUGAUGCACGUGUGCCUUUUUGUAUGUACUUUAUGAAUAAGGAUCGGCUAAUUCCGUGCCAGCAGCCGCGGUAAUACGGAGGAUCCGAGCGUUAUCCGGAUUUAUUGGGUUUAAAGGGAGCGUAGAUGGGUUGUUAAGUCAGUUGUGAAAGUUUGCGGCUCAACCGUAAAAUUGCAAUUGAUACUGGAAGGCGUGAGUACACAUGAGGCAGGCGGAAUUCGUGGUGUAGCGGUGAAAUGCUUAGAUAUCACGAAGAACCCCGAUUGCGAAGGCAGCCUACCAAACUGUGACUGACAUUGAGGCUCGAAAGUGUGGGUAUCAAACAGGAUUAGAUACCCGUGUAGUC
Molecule: ribosomal RNA, 460 nt
Filed under: uncultured bacterium
Lineage: Bacteria
Description: partial 16S ribosomal RNA
Rfam family: Bacterial small subunit ribosomal RNA
Source: RNAcentral